GAUGAACGCUGGCGGCGUGCCUAAUACAUGCCAGUCGAGCGAACAGACGAGGAGCUUGCUCCUUUGACGUUAGCGGCGGACGGGUGAGUAACACGUAGGUAACCUACCUAUAAGACCGGGAUAACUUCGGGAAACCGGAGCUAAUACCGGAUAAUAUUUCGAACCGCAUGGUUCGAUAGUGAAAGAUGGCUUUGCUAUCACUUAUAGAUGGACCUGCGCCGUAUUAGCUAGUUGGUAAGGUAACGGCUUACCAAGGCAACGAUACGUAGCCGACCUGAGAGGGUGAUCGGCCACACUGGAACUGAGACACGGUCCAGACUCCUACGGGAGGCAGCAGUAGGGAAUCUUCCGCAAUGGGCGAAAGCCUGACGGAGCAACGCCGCGUGAGUGAUGAAGGUCUUCGGAUCGUAAAACUCUGUUAUUAGGGAAGAACAAACGUGUAAGUAACUGUGCACGUCUUGACGGUACCUAAUCAGAAAGCCACGGCUAACUACGUG
RNAcentral lists this ribosomal RNA (497 nucleotides) under uncultured bacterium. RNAcentral describes it as "partial 16S ribosomal RNA". It matches the Rfam family "Bacterial small subunit ribosomal RNA", at positions 28 to 507 of the family's 1533-position model. The record is from RNAcentral.